GAUGAACGCUGGCGGCGUGCCUAAUACAUGCAAGUCGAGCGAACGGACGAGAAGCUUGCUUUUCUGAUGUUAGCGGCGGACGGGUGAGUAACACGUGGAUAACCUACCUAUAAGACUGGGAUAACUUCGGGAAACCGGAGCUAAUACCGGAUAAUAUUUUGAACCGCAUGGUUCAAAAGUGAAAGACGGUCUUGAUGUCACUUAUAGAUGGAUCCGCGCUGCAUUAGCUAGUUGGUAAGGUAACGGCUUACCAAGGCAACGAUGCAUAGCCGACCUGAGAGGGUGAUCGGCCACACUGGAACUGAGACACGGUCCAGACUCCUACGGGAGGCAGCAGUAGGGAAUCUUCCGCAAUGGGCGAAAGCCUGACGGAGCAACGCCGCGUGAGUGAUGAAGGUCUUCGGAUCGUAAAACUCUGUUAUUAGGGAAGAACAUAUGUGUAAGUAACUGUGCACAUCUUGACGGUACCUAAUCAGAAAGCCACGGCUAACUACGUG
Molecule: ribosomal RNA, 497 nt
Filed under: uncultured bacterium
Lineage: Bacteria
Description: partial 16S ribosomal RNA
Rfam family: Bacterial small subunit ribosomal RNA
Source: RNAcentral